Molecule: ribosomal RNA, 119 nt
Organism: Pteropus vampyrus (large flying fox)
Lineage: Eukaryota; Metazoa; Chordata; Mammalia; Chiroptera; Pteropodidae
Source: Ensembl
UUUCACGGCCAUGCCACCCUGAACAAGCCCAAUCCCGUCUGACCGUGGAAGCUAAGCAGGGUCGGGCCUGGUUAAUACUUGGAUGGGAGACCACCUAGGAAGACCAGGUGCUGCAGACA